GAUGAACGCUGGCGGCGUGCCUAAUACAUGCAAGUCGAGCGAACGGACGAGAAGCUUGCUUCUCUGAUGUUAGCGGCGGACGGGUGAGUAACACGUGGAUAACCUACCUAUAAGACUGGGAUAACUUCGGGAAACCGGAGCUAAUACCGGAUAAUAUUUGGAACCGCAUGGUUCAAAAGUGAAAGACGGUCUUGCUGUCACUUAUAGAUGGAUCCGCGCUGCAUUAGCUAGUUGGUAAGGUAACGGCUUACCAAGGCAACGAUGCAUAGCCGACCUGAGAGGGUGAUCGGCCACACUGGAACUGAGACACGGUCCAGACUCCUACGGGAGGCAGCAGUAGGGAAUCUUCCGCAAUGGGCGAAAGCCUGACGGAGCAACGCCGCGUGAGUGAUGAAGGUCUUCGGAUCGUAAAACUCUGUUAUUAGGGAAGAACAUAUGUGUAAGUAACUGUGCACAUCUUGACGGUACCUAAUCAGAAAGCCACGGCUAACUACGUGCCAGCAGCCGCGGUAAUACGUAGGUGGCAAGCGUUAUCCGGAAUUAUUGGGCGUAAAGCGCGCGUAGGCGGUUUUUUAAGUCUGAUGUGAAAGCCCACGGCUCAACCGUGGAGGGUCAUUGGAAACUGGAAAACUUGAGUGCAGAAGAGGAAAGUGGAAUUCCAUGUGUAGCGGUGAAAUGCGCAGAGAUAUGGAGGAACACCAGUGGCGAAGGCGACUUUCUGGUCUGUAACUGACGCUGGUGUGCGAAAGCGUGGGGAUCAAACAGGAUUAGAUACCCUGGUAGUCCACGCCGUAAACGAUGAGUGCUAAGUGUUAGGGGGUUUCCGCCCCUUAGUGCUGCAGCUAACGCAUUAAGCACUCCGCCUGGGGAGUACGACCGCAAGGUUGAAACUCAAAGGAAUUGACGGGGACCCGCACAAGCGGUGGAGCAUGUGGUUUAAUUCGAAGCAACGCGAAGAACCUUACCAAAUCUUGACAUCCUUUGACAAAUCUAGAGAUAGAGCCUUCCCCUUCGGGGGACAAAGUGACAGGUGGUGCAUGGUUGUCGUCAGCUCGUGUCGUGAGAUGUUGGGUUAAGUCCCGCAACGAGCGCAACCCUUAAGCUUAGUUGCCAUCAUUAAGUUGGGCACUCUAAGUUGACUGCCGGUGACAAACCGGAGGAAGGUGGGGAUGACGUCAAAUCAUCAUGCCCCUUAUGAUUUGGGCUACACACGUGCUACAAUGGACAAUACAAAGGGCAGCGAAACCGCGAGGUCAAGCAAAUCCCAUAAAGUUGUUCUCAGUUCGGAUUGUAGUCUGCAACUCGACUACAUGAAGCUGGAAUCGCUAGUAAUCGUAGAUCAGCAUGCUACGGUGAAUACGUUCCCGGGUCU
Molecule: ribosomal RNA, 1372 nt
Filed under: uncultured bacterium
Lineage: Bacteria
Description: bacterial SSU rRNA
Rfam family: Bacterial small subunit ribosomal RNA
Source: RNAcentral